GACAGAGGGUGCAAACGUUGUUCGGAAUUACUGGGCGUAAAGCGAGUGUAGGCGGUCCUCUAAGUUUGAUGUGAAAGCCCUGGGCUUAACCUGGGAAUGGCAUUGGAUACUGAUAGACUAGAGUCGGACAGAGGGCCGUGGAAUUUCCGGUGUAGCGGUGAAAUGCGUAGAGAUCGGAAAGAACAUCGAUGGCGAAGGCAGCGGCCUGGGUCCAGACUGACACUGAGGUGCGAAAGCGUGGGGAGCAAACAGG
Molecule: ribosomal RNA, 253 nt
Filed under: uncultured bacterium
Lineage: Bacteria
Description: partial 16S ribosomal RNA
Rfam family: Bacterial small subunit ribosomal RNA
Source: RNAcentral